This 250-nucleotide ribosomal RNA is filed under the name uncultured bacterium. RNAcentral describes it as "partial 16S ribosomal RNA". It matches the Rfam family "Bacterial small subunit ribosomal RNA", at positions 524 to 773 of the family's 1533-position model. The record is from RNAcentral.
UACGAGGGGUGCAAGCGUUAUUCGGAAUUAUUGGGCGUAAAGGGUGCGUAGACGGUUUUUUAAGUCACCUGUGAAAUUCUUUGGCCUAACUGAAGGCUAGCGGGUGAAACUGAUUAACUUGAGGAUGGAAGAGAGAAGUGGAAUUCUCGGAGUAGCGGUAAAAUGCGUAGAUCUCGAGAGGAACACCAAUGGCGAAGGCAGCUUCUUGGUCCAUAUCUGACGUUGAGGCACGAAAGCGUGGGGAGCAAAC